This is a ribosomal RNA of 2338 nucleotides. It matches the Rfam family "Bacterial large subunit ribosomal RNA", at positions 585 to 2925 of the family's 2925-position model.
GUUAAUGGGUGAUGGCGUGCCUUUUGUAGAAUGAACCGGCGAGUUACGAUCUGAUGCAAGGUUAAGCAGGAAAUGUGGAGCCGUAGCGAAAGCGAGUCUGAAUAGGGCGUUUAGUAUUUGGUCGUAGACCCGAAACCAGGUGAUCUACCCAUGGUCAGGUUGAAGUUCAGGUAACACUGAAUGGAGGACCGAACCGACUUACGUUGAAAAGUGAGCGGAUGAACUGUGGGUAGCGGAGAAAUUCCAAUCGAACUUGGAGAUAGCUGGUUCUCUCCGAAAUAGCUUUAGGGCUAGCCUCAAGUGAUGAUUAUUGGAGGUAGAGCACUGUUUGGACGAGGGGCCCCUCUCGGGUUACCGAAUUCAGACAAACUCCGAAUGCCAAUUAAUUUAACUUGGGAGUCAGAACAUGGGUGAUAAGGUCCGUGUUCGAAAGGGAAACAGCCCAGACCACCAGCUAAGGUCCCAAAAUAUAUGUUAAGUGGAAAAGGAUGUGGCGUUGCCCAGACAACUAGGAUGUUGGCUUAGAAGCAGCCAUCAUUUAAAGAGUGCGUAAUAGCUCACUAGUCGAGUGACACUGCGCCGAAAAUGUACCGGGGCUAAACAUAUUACCGAAGCUGUGGAUUGUCCUUUGGACAAUGGUAGGAGAGCGUUCUAAGGGCGUUGAAGCAUGAUCGCAAGGACAUGUGGAGCGCUUAGAAGUGAGAAUGCCGGUGUGAGUAGCGAAAGACGGGUGAGAAUCCCGUCCACCGAUUGACUAAGGUUUCCAGAGGAAGGCUCGUCCGCUCUGGGUUAGUCGGGUCCUAAGCUGAGGCCGACAGGCGUAGGCGAUGGAUAACAGGUUGAUAUUCCUGUACCACCUAACAUCGUUUUAAUCGAUGGGGGGACGCAGUAGGAUAGGCGAAGCGUGCUGUUGGAGUGCACGUCUAAGCAGUGAGAUUGAGUGUUAGGCAAAUCCGGCACUCUUAAGAUUGAGCUGUGAUGGGGAGAGGAAAUUGUUUCCUCGAGUCGUUGAUUUCACACUGCCGAGAAAAGCCUCUAGAUAGAUAAUAGGUGCCCGUACCGCAAACCGACACAGGUAGUCAAGAUGAGAAUUCUAAGGUGAGCGAGCGAACUCUCGUUAAGGAACUCGGCAAAAUGACCCCGUAACUUCGGGAGAAGGGGUGCUCUUUAGGGUGCAAGCCCAGAAGAGCCGCAGUGAAUAGGCCCAAGCGACUGUUUAUCAAAAACACAGGUCUCUGCUAAACCGUAAGGUGAUGUAUAGGGGCUGACGCCUGCCCGGUGCUGGAAGGUUAAGAGGAGUGGUUAGCUUCUGCGAAGCUACGAAUCGAAGCCCCAGUAAACGGCGGCCGUAACUAUAACGGUCCUAAGGUAGCGAAAUUCCUUGUCGGGUAAGUUCCGACCCGCACGAAAGGCGUAACGAUUUGGGCACUGUCUCAACGAGAGACUCGGUGAAAUCAUAGUACCUGUGAAGAUGCAGGUUACCCGCGACAGGACGGAAAGACCCCGUGGAGCUUUACUGUAGCCUGAUAUUGAAAUUCGGCACAGCUUGUACAGGAUAGGUAGGAGCCUUUGAAGCGUGAGCGCUAGCUUACGUGGAGGCGCUGGUGGGAUACUACCCUAGCUGUGUUGGCUUUCUAACCCGCACCACUUAUCGUGGUGGGAGACAGUGUCAGGCGGGCAGUUUGACUGGGGCGGUCGCCUCCUAAAAGGUAACGGAGGCGCUCAAAGGUUCCCUCAGAAUGGUUGGAAAUCAUUCAUAGAGUGUAAAGGCAUAAGGGAGCUUGACUGCGAGACCUACAAGUCGAGCAGGGUCGAAAGACGGACUUAGUGAUCCGGUGGUUCCGCAUGGAAGGGCCAUCGCUCAACGGAUAAAAGCUACCCCGGGGAUAACAGGCUUAUCUCCCCCAAGAGUUCACAUCGACGGGGAGGUUUGGCACCUCGAUGUCGGCUCAUCGCAUCCUGGGGCUGUAGUCGGUCCCAAGGGUUGGGCUGUUCGCCCAUUAAAGCGGUACGCGAGCUGGGUUCAGAACGUCGUGAGACAGUUCGGUCCCUAUCCGUCGUGGGCGUAGGAAAUUUGAGAGGAGCUGUCCUUAGUACGAGAGGACCGGGAUGGACAUACCUCUGGUGUACCAGUUGUCGUGCCAACGGCAUAGCUGGGUAGCUAUGUAUGGACGGGAUAAGUGCUGAAAGCAUCUAAGCAUGAAGCCCCCCUCAAGAUGAGAUUUCCCAACUUCGGUUAUAAGAUCCCUCAAAGAUGAUGAGGUUAAUAGGUUCGAGGUGGAAGCGUGGUGACACGUGGAGCUGACGAAUACUAAUCGAUCGAAGACUUAAUCAAUUU